GUGCCCUUUUAAGGUUGCUGCAGUACUUUAAGAGGCUAACACAGAAGGUAAAGCAAGUCUCCAUAAAAAACCCAAAGACAAGAUCGGUAGAACUCCUCUUUGGAUCCUAUCUGGAGUCACAAGU
This is a small nucleolar RNA of Echinops telfairi (small Madagascar hedgehog), 124 nucleotides long. The record is from Ensembl. NCBI's taxonomy places the organism in Eukaryota, Metazoa, Chordata, Mammalia, Afrosoricida, Tenrecidae.